RNAcentral lists this non-coding RNA (768 nucleotides) under Zea mays. The record is from RNAcentral. Lineage: Eukaryota; Viridiplantae; Streptophyta; Magnoliopsida; Poales; Poaceae.
UUCAGUCCACUCAGGGGCGGUGCUAGGGUCGGAUUAGCUGCCGACUCAUUCACCCACAUGCCAAGCAAACGGCCAUGGAAACGAGCUUCGCAGAUGAGUGAAUGAAGCGGGAGGUAAAAGCUUCGAUCUCGCACCGUCUUUGCUUGGACUGAAGGGUGCUCCCUCCGAUCCUUUCCUUGUUUACUUUACCCAUGCAGCUUCAUCAUUCGUAUCUCAAGUCAAGGUUUUACUUCAUAUGAUCUGUAUUUUAUUUUCCAACCUGCUGUCUCGAACUCUUGAUCUGUCUUUGCUUGAGCUGCUUAUUAAUUAUUAUCUUGCAUAUAUAUUAGGCAUCUGAUGCAUACAUCCAUAGCAGCUGCCAGGCUAUUUUAAUUUUACCAUGUGCGUGCUUACUGUUCUUCUGUGGUUGUUAUAUAGCUGUUGUAUAUAUAUAAUGGAGAUCCGAUGCUUUUUUGUACUUUUCUUGCCCUUUUGAUAUGUACACAUACUAGCUAUAUAUAUAAUCCUUGAUCUGCUCCCUGAAUCUAUAUACUGUUCGAUCUCUUCCAAAAAGUUAUCCCAGUUUCUGAAGAAAAGAAAAGGAAGAAAUUGAUUUGCUUUGCAUGUGUGUAGAUCUUACAGGACAGGACCGGAUCCGAUCCAUGCAGGUUUCUGCUGUCUUUCUGUGAUCUGUGGAAGAAGAUGGUGUGCACUGUACGUUCUAGAYUAGCUAGCUAGGAYUAUAUAUAAACGAGAAUCUGUGGAAUCAUAAAAACACACUUUCGUUCG